Molecule: long non-coding RNA, 299 nt
Organism: Tribolium castaneum (red flour beetle)
Lineage: Eukaryota; Metazoa; Arthropoda; Insecta; Coleoptera; Tenebrionidae
Exons: 3
Source: RefSeq, a predicted model, not a curated record
UUUUUAUUGCAUUUUCGCACAUCGUUCUAAUUGAGCAUUGCGGAAUGAAUUAGUGACGAUGUGUAAUGGUCAGUUUGCCCGAAGAGCAAAAGCUGUGCGUUGUAAAUCGCACGUAACGGCCGUUUGGCUUGUCAGACAUGGCGAAGAUAGGAUUUGAGUCAGAAUAAGCAGCACAGACAGGAUUGGGACGUCUAGCAAAUUUCACAUCUACAUAGUUUAAGGAGGAGGACAUCACGUUCAUUUGCAAAGAAAAAGUGUUUUUGUUACUAAAAUGUUAUAAUUGAAAAAUAUAAAAUAGC